UUAAGUUCAGCGCGUAUUCCUACCUGAUCUGAGGUCAAUAGUUGAAAAUGUCAAGCAUGAAAAAUGCAAGACGGCUUUCGGUGCCGCGCAAAAUGACAGUCAAAACAACGAGUGGUGAAACCUAAUGCAUUGUCGACAGCCAAAGGCUGCACCAUUGUAAUUCGAGGAAGCAUCGCAAUGCAGACCUCAACGUCCAUCCA
RNAcentral lists this unclassified non-coding RNA (200 nucleotides) under uncultured Protomyces. RNAcentral's name for it is "sequence contains ITS2". Lineage: Eukaryota; Fungi; Ascomycota; Taphrinomycetes; Taphrinales. The record is from RNAcentral.